This 748-nucleotide ribosomal RNA is filed under the name Escherichia coli 1-110-08_S1_C2. Its description in RNAcentral is "bacterial SSU rRNA". It matches the Rfam family "Bacterial small subunit ribosomal RNA", at positions 772 to 1520 of the family's 1533-position model. Lineage: Bacteria; Pseudomonadati; Pseudomonadota; Gammaproteobacteria; Enterobacterales; Enterobacteriaceae. The record is from RNAcentral.
ACAGGAUUAGAUACCCUGGUAGUCCACGCCGUAAACGAUGUCGACUUGGAGGUUGUGCCCUUGAGGCGUGGCUUCCGGAGCUAACGCGUUAAGUCGACCGCCUGGGGAGUACGGCCGCAAGGUUAAAACUCAAAUGAAUUGACGGGGGCCCGCACAAGCGGUGGAGCAUGUGGUUUAAUUCGAUGCAACGCGAAGAACCUUACCUGGUCUUGACAUCCACGGAAGUUUUCAGAGAUGAGAAUGUGCCUUCGGGAACCGUGAGACAGGUGCUGCAUGGCUGUCGUCAGCUCGUGUUGUGAAAUGUUGGGUUAAGUCCCGCAACGAGCGCAACCCUUAUCCUUUGUUGCCAGCGGUCCGGCCGGGAACUCAAAGGAGACUGCCAGUGAUAAACUGGAGGAAGGUGGGGAUGACGUCAAGUCAUCAUGGCCCUUACGACCAGGGCUACACACGUGCUACAAUGGCGCAUACAAAGAGAAGCGACCUCGCGAGAGCAAGCGGACCUCAUAAAGUGCGUCGUAGUCCGGAUUGGAGUCUGCAACUCGACUCCAUGAAGUCGGAAUCGCUAGUAAUCGUGGAUCAGAAUGCCACGGUGAAUACGUUCCCGGGCCUUGUACACACCGCCCGUCACACCAUGGGAGUGGGUUGCAAAAGAAGUAGGUAGCUUAACCUUCGGGAGGGCGCUUACCACUUUGUGAUUCAUGACUGGGGUGAAGUCGUAACAAGGUAACCGUAGGGGAACCUGCGGUUG